RNAcentral lists this transfer RNA (73 nucleotides) under Musca domestica (house fly). It matches the Rfam family "tRNA". Rfam says of the family: Transfer RNA (tRNA) molecules are approximately 80 nucleotides in length. Their secondary structure includes four short double-helical elements and three loops (D, anti-codon, and T loops). The record is from Rfam by way of RNAcentral. Lineage: Eukaryota; Metazoa; Arthropoda; Insecta; Diptera; Muscidae.
GUUUCCGUAGUGUAGUGGUUAUCACGUGUGCUUCACACGCACAAGGUCCCCGGUUCGAGCCCGGGCGGAAACA